CAGAAAUUGAGAUACAUUGCUGUCAAACAUUCUGUAGACUUGAAAAUGAGAAACAUUUCAUCAACAGAACAGAUGAAAAUAGCAAACAGGAAGUUUUCAAGAGAUUGUUACCUCAAAUCUGAAGUGGUUCAAUGCAAAACAUGAGCUUCAUUCAAUGCUGGCCCUGCAUGGUAUUCACAAAGUGCCUUUAAUAGAUGAAAACUUAAUGGGAAUAAAUUUACCUGAUGUUUAGGUAAUGUUUGAUGCUUCCAGUUAUGGAUAUUUUGAAAAAAAGGUGAAAAUGAAGGAAGGACAUCAACACACACGAACUUUUUUAUUUAUUGAUUAUAAAAUUGAGGAGAGAGAGUCAAAUAUCAUUUUAAAAUAUGAAAUGUGUGAAAGGCAGAGAGAGAGAGUCAGCUAGGUUUUGUGAAGAUUAAAUUUGUUCAUUUUAAAGCUCACUCAUGCUUAUCUUCAAUGUUUGAUUAAAAAUGUUUUUCUUUUUCUUCAAAAUUCAUUGUUAAAAUGUGAGAUAGUUAGAAUAUUCCUUUGUAAAGAUUUAUCCUGUUUAAACCUUAAAGCUCAUAAUAUUGUUUCCAUUUUUACGAGCUGUUUGACUAUAGACGGUCACUGCUAGUUUUUUGUUUGUUUGUAUUUAUGGUUUAAACAAGAUUAAUCUAAGAGGAAUUGCAGUGUAUGAAAGAGAGAAAGAAGGACUAUGUAAAGGUCUAUUCUUUUUUCAGCAAAACAGCAGGUUCUUCUUUAUAACUUUUUGUAUUGGAAUAAUCAAGCACCUGCCAAUUUGCUUAAAUUGGAUAAAUCUUGGAUGAGUAUUACAUUGUGUAUUGAAAAUUGUAUUUUUAUACAUACUAAAAAAUUUAGAUCAUAAAUUUUCAUUUUAUAUCUAAAUUAUCACACUUGUGCAAUAUAUUAAGUGUACCAUUACUUAUAUAUAUAUUUUUUUAUUAGUUUUCAACACGGGAAGUGAAAUCUAAGAUGAAUGAGGAGCUAAUAGGUUGAAGUUAUGGCAAUUAAGGGGAGGGAAUAAACCUAUUUACCUCCUAAUACUGGUUUCUUCCUAUGAUGAAAGUUAAUUUAUCAUACUUGUAUUAUUUACAUGUAAUAUAUUUAAGGGACACAGAUGUUAUCAAAAUUUGCCAUUUUGUAGAGCUUAGUAAAGAAAUAAUGUAAACAAAAGAAAAAGAAAAAAAAAGAAGAUAAAAGAAAAAACUGUAAACUAAGUUCUAGGAAAUGGCAGUAUGGGAUUUUCUGAAAUUUAUAAGUUGUAUUGGAUCGAUUAUUCUUACAACUUAAUACAUCUGGUGUGUGUGAGGGAGAGAAAGAUAUUUUGUGGAGGUUUAUUUUCUUUCAGCCAAACAGCAUGCAGGCACUUCUUACAACUUUUUGUAGAGCUGGUCUCAAACAAGUUGCCAAAAUUAACCUGUCAUUUGGUUUAGAUAAGAUAAAUCUAGAAUUGGAAGAUAGUAUUUUGAGAUGCUACUAAUUUUCUUUGAUUUGUUUUAUGGCUUGAAUCUAUGAACAAAGAAUAUACACUUGAAUAUGACAUGGGUCAAAAUUUAAUAAAUCAGCUCUCAUUUUUUUUAAACAUCACAGUGAUGUUCUAUUCUAUGGGUAUCUAUGUCAUUUGUGAAACCUUUCAACACAGAAAGCAAAAUCCAGUUGUGAUGAAUGAGGAGCUUAAAUAGGGUGAAGUUUAUGGCAAGGGGGAGGGAAUACACCUAUUUACCUCCUUAUUCUGGUAGCUUCCUUUGGUGAAAGGUAAUUAAUUGGACAUUAAUAGGAGCACAUCAGAUGUAAUCAAAAUUUGCCAUUUUGUAGAGCUUAGUAAAAACUGUAAACUAAGUUAUAGGAAAUGGCAGU
Molecule: long non-coding RNA, 1860 nt
Organism: Mytilus californianus (California mussel)
Lineage: Eukaryota; Metazoa; Mollusca; Bivalvia; Mytilida; Mytilidae
Exons: 4
Source: RefSeq, a predicted model, not a curated record